This 1233-nucleotide long non-coding RNA is filed under the name Betta splendens (Siamese fighting fish). Its description in RNAcentral is "lncRNA (ENSBSLG00000016931.1)". Lineage: Eukaryota; Metazoa; Chordata; Actinopteri; Anabantiformes; Osphronemidae. The record is from RNAcentral.
GCCAUUUAAGUCACCGCGGAGGAAGAGUAAAAAAAAAGCGUUUGUUUUAUGAUACAGCUGGUACCGGAUGCGCCUCAGAGGUAUCUUUUAACCUUAAAAGACGGGCUGUUUUGCUGCAUAGCUGGAGCCCCAUAGAGGCUAUUACAAACGGGGCCACUCUCUAUUCACCGAGAGAGGGGAGAGCAGCGCUGGUGGAAGAGGCGGGAGGGGGGGAGGGGGGGGGGGGGGGGGUGCUGAGGAGGAGGGCGAGGGAUGAAGGGAGGAAGGAGGGAGUGUGGGAGAGGAGAAACGUGUAAUCACCCAAACAACCAUUUUUACCCAUUUCACCCCCUCUGGAUCUGUGGCGCAAGGUAAGAAAAAGGGGCUACUUGGCUUCUCCACUGGCCCUGUCUGCUUCACAAACUGCUCCGGCUUCACUUCUGUGAGAACUCCUCUCCUUUCCUCUCACACUCCGCAGUGCGCCGCCGGCUUAUGCGCGCCUCCGCUGCGGAUACGCCGACGUGAGGCCGGACCCCGCGGAAGACGCCGAGAGGGAAACACUCUAAACCAACAUCCUGGGUAUAAAUUUGCAAAACGCAAUACAGGCCUGAUUGUGUGUUGAGUGGAUGUGGAGCGCAUACGAAUAGACCCGGGACCCCUUCCUCCUUCCUCCCUUCGAGCAACACAACUCAUUCCCUUCAACUCCCAUCUCUUCUCAUGCAGCCAAGUGAGUAUUGUAGGAAAAUCUUUUUUUCUCGUUACAGAACUAGAUUUUAAGCUCUUGAAUGCAACCUCACAAGAACUGGGUGCCGCUGAUUUUGCCAAACAUUUACUCAAACCAAAUAAUCACUGCUAGUCAGGUGGAAUCUCACUGAUCAGAAUAAUUCUUUUUUACAGAUAUUGAGAAUUCACACACUUUAUAAUGCACGUUUAAAACCUCUAGGUUGCCCUAACACACGCUUUAGUCUACAAUAUCAGAGAAUGUGAAUGGGAAAGCCGAGAACAAGCAAAGCCUUGGCACUGACACCAGGUCAGCUCCGAGCCCCCGCGCGCAGCCCAGCCCUCAGCACCAGGUGUUCGCUGUAUUCAGAUGAUGCUCUCAUUCAUAGACUCCUCCGACCGGAGUAUUAAAACUCAAAAUUUGCAACUGAAUGCUGAUAUAAUCCUGGAAAUAUAUGUCUCCAUUAAAAAGUAGCCCAUUUAAAGGAACAAGGCGGGCUUUGUGCGAGGCUUUAUGUAUAUUUAUCAAGGCGC